Molecule: ribosomal RNA, 2027 nt
Filed under: Entamoeba histolytica
Lineage: Eukaryota; Evosea; Mastigamoebida; Endamoebidae
Description: LSU rRNA
Rfam family: Eukaryotic large subunit ribosomal RNA
Source: RNAcentral
AAAGAUUUGAGUAUCGUAAGAGGACUCCCUUAACUUAAGCAUAUCAAUAAGGGAAGGAAGAAAAAAUAACAAUGAUUUCUUAAGUAAUGGCGAAUGAAAAAGAAAAAGACCAAGUUGAUAAGAAUGGAUAAUUGUAAAAGGGUUAGAAGAAUACAGCAAUGUAUGAGGCUAGUCUUAAAUUAUUCAGAGUGUAACUAAUAGAAAAGCUAUAUUUAAAAGGGAUAAUUUAAAUUGAAUUCAGAACGAAUAUUGAGCCAGAGAGAGUGAAAGCCUCGUCAAUUUAGAUAUAUCUUGAAAAGAAUAUGGUUUAGAAAAGAGUAAAUUUAUUUGGAAGUAUAAAUCGAAAAGGUGAUAGUAUUCAUCAAAGUCUAAAUAUUACAGGAAAACUGAUAGCAAAGAAGUACUGUGAAGGAAAACUUAAAAGAACUUUGGAAAAAGAGUGAAAAGAGCUUGAAAGAGUAAUAUGUGAACGGAUAAUUUAUAAGAAAAAUAGUGGAAUAUGUUAUAAAUAAAGAUGUGAAAAGAUUAGAUAUAUAAGUAGUAUAUUUAAUAAGAUUAUGUUGAAAUUUAUAAUAUAAGAAAUUAUUAAGAGCAAGAGAAUUAUUUCAUUUAUAGUGAUUAUUAAUAAACGAGGAUAUUAGGAGAAAUCUUAGUAUUCAAUUGUGAAUUAAAAGUAAAAAUCCGAUAAUAAUGGAAUGAUAAAAGCUAUUUAAGGUAAGAUUAAUAAAUUUAAUCCCGAGAAUAGAAACUCUUGAAGAAGUAAAUUAUCUACCCGUCUUGAAACACGGACCAAGGAGUCUAACAUGGAUGCGAAUGAGAAUAGCAGGAAAGCUAUAACAUGAAGAGAAAACGAAAAACUAUGAGAGUGUAGAAAUACAUUUAGCAAUAGUAUCUUUCAAUAGAAGAAGUAAAUAUGUUAGGACCCGAAAGAUGGUGAACUAUACUUGAACGGAUUGAAGCCGAAGGAAACUUUGGUGGAAGAUUCACGCAGUGUUAACGUGCAAAUUACUUGUCAUAUUUGAGUAUAGGGGCGAAAGACUCAUCGAACUAUCUAGUAGCUGGUUCCACCUGAAUAUUCCCUUAGGAAGGUCAAAGUAUUAAUAGUAUUGAUUGGUAAAGAUAAUGAUUAGGUGUAAUGGGUGAGUAUAUUCACUCAACAUCUUGUCAAACUAUGAAUAAACAAAGAAGAAUUCUCAGUGUUAAAUACACUUCAGGAAUUUAAAUAUAAACAUACUUUGAAUCGGCCAAGUCUGGUAAGCAGGACUGGCGAUGCGGGAUGAACCGAACGUCGAGAUAAAGUGCCAAAAAGAAACAUAACGAGUACCACAAAAGGUAUUCAUUCAUAUUGACAAUAGGACGGUGGCCAUGGAAGUCGGAAACCGCUAAGGAAUGUGUAACAACUCACCUAUCGAAUGAAUGAGUCCUGAAAAUGGAUGGCAUUAUAAUUUCUUAACUGAUACUCGACCGUUAAAAUGAAGACAUUUUAACGAGUAAGGAAACGAAAUGGCGUAAGGACAACAAAAGUAGUAAAGAUUUAAAGUAAUUUAGAUUGAAACUGUCCUUAGUGCAGAUCUUGGUGGUAGUAGCAAAUACUAAGAAGAGGAAAAAAACAUCUUAGAACUGAAGAGGAGAAAGGUUCCUAAACAACAUUACUUGGAUUAGGGUGAAUCGAUCCUAAAUUACAGAUGGAAAUCCUUAAGAAAUAUAUAAGUGACAUAUAGUCAAUAUAAGGAUUGAAAGGGAAUAAGAUUAAUAGUUCUUAAUCAAGAGAAUUAAUGAUUAAAUCUUAGAAAUAAGAUUAAAUCGAAUAAAAUGGUAACAUAUCAUGAACUUUAAAAUGGAGUGUGAAAAUCUACGGAAGAGUUCUCUUUUCUUCUUAACAAAAGUAAAUUCCACUGAAAUGAAUCAAUCAGAGAAGUGGAAUUUAUUGGCUUUGUAAGAAAUUCAACAUAUGAUUGAAUUGUGGUAUUUUUGCAGUCUUCAUAAAAAUUAAAGGGAAUCUUAGCAUAAAGCUAAUUAAAGAAUUC